UACUUAAACUACCUUACUAAUAAAUCCACCUUCCACCAACUUAUAAAUUGAAUUUUCAUUUUUCUAAUCAAAAUUGUAGCUCACCUCUACCCCUACAUAAACUGCACCUUGACCUGAAGUUAGAGAAACCUCUUUUAUGAAAACAUCCUAUAAAAGUAAUCUGGCAACGGCGGUAUACAAGCUAAACAAAUAAAGGAAAGAUAAAACGAGGGUUAUCGAUUACAGGGCAAGCUCCUCUAUUUGGAUAAAGUGCCGCCAAAAUCUUUGGGUUUGAAGAACAACUUUUAC
This 288-nucleotide ribosomal RNA is filed under the name Daphnia curvirostris. RNAcentral describes it as "partial 12S ribosomal RNA". Lineage: Eukaryota; Metazoa; Arthropoda; Branchiopoda; Diplostraca; Daphniidae. The record is from RNAcentral.